Molecule: ribosomal RNA, 234 nt
Filed under: uncultured fungus
Lineage: Eukaryota; Fungi
Description: partial 18S ribosomal RNA
Rfam family: Eukaryotic small subunit ribosomal RNA
Source: RNAcentral
UUGGAGGGCAAGUCUGGUGCCAGCAGCCGCGGUAAUUCCAGCUCCAAUAGCGUAUAUUAAAGUUGUUGCAGUUAAAAAGCUCGUAGUUGAAUUUCGAGGUCAAAUUGUCGGUCGUGCCUCGGUACGUACUGGCAUUAUUGAUUUCUCCCUUCUGACGAUCCGCGAUGUCAUUAAUUUGGUGUCGUGGGGAAUCAGGACUGUUACUUUGAAAAAAUUAGAGUGUUUAAAGCAGGC